CAGACCUCUAAUCGGAAAAGACUACGCGCUGAGU
RNAcentral lists this ribosomal RNA (34 nucleotides) under Porotrichum flaccum. Its description in RNAcentral is "partial 26S ribosomal RNA". The record is from RNAcentral. Lineage: Eukaryota; Viridiplantae; Streptophyta; Bryopsida; Hypnales; Neckeraceae.